Long non-coding RNA from Labeo rohita (rohu), 535 nucleotides. RefSeq lists it as uncharacterized. NCBI's taxonomy places the organism in Eukaryota, Metazoa, Chordata, Actinopteri, Cypriniformes, Cyprinidae. The transcript is spliced from 4 exons. The record is from RefSeq and is a predicted model, not a curated record.
CAGAACCGGAGGUAAGGGGCAGAGUUAUUGACAACGAGAUAAGCAUGGCGGAGAGCACGAUGAGUUGUAAUGUUUUUUGCUAUUAUAUGUAUUACAUUCCAAACAUACAGAGAUGGUGGACUCUUAUUCUUCUGGAGAAAUUUGGGUGCAGAAACCCUACAAGACGCCCUUCCAAGUAGAGAACAAGCUAUGCUUAGCAACAAUGAGGAACUCCCAGUAAUCCAACAGAAGCUGUGAAAUGGCUCCAUUCCAACAGACAUCUGCUCAGGGGGCCAGUGGAAGAACCUCUUUUCUUUAUAAUGGAUGAAGAAGACAACGAAAAGGCCCUCAGCAAUCUCCUGGAACAAUCAGAAACUUCCGGAGUGUCCUUCAAAUUUCAUUUUGUGUUCAGGGAUGAUGUGGAGUUAUUGGAUAAACUUCAAUUUAAUUUAAUUAAUUUUAAUUUGACCCUCUAGCACUCCCUAUUCUAAUUCUAUUCUUUAAAAAACUUGAACCAUUAAGACUCGCACUCCAUUCUUUUCUUGAAAAAAAAAAA